RNA transcript from Elaeis guineensis (African oil palm), 2140 nucleotides. It is a transcript of the gene named asparagine synthetase [glutamine-hydrolyzing]-like, with no coding region annotated. The record is from RefSeq and is a predicted model, not a curated record. NCBI's taxonomy places the organism in Eukaryota, Viridiplantae, Streptophyta, Magnoliopsida, Arecales, Arecaceae.
GCGGUACCCAGAAGCAGACCAUCAUACCAGUUCAAAAGGGGCUUGUUUUCUUGAUUCGUGUUCAUUCCAGUCAUGUGUGGGAUACUUGCUGUGUUGGGCUGCUCUGAUGAUUCGCAGGCAAAGAGAGUUCGAGUGCUCGAACUCUCUCGCAGAUUAAAGCAUCGAGGCCCUGACUGGAGUGGCUUACACCAGCACGGUGAUUGCUUUUUGGCACACCAACGACUAGCAAUCAUUGAUCCGGCUUCUGGAGAUCAACCACUUUAUAAUGAAGACAAAACCAUCAUUGUGACGGUAAAUGGAGAGAUUUACAACCAUGAAGAGUUAAGGAGUCAGUUACUUGACCACAAAUUCAGGUCAGGGAGUGACUGUGAGGUCAUUGCGCAUUUGUACGAGGAGCAUGGAGAAAAUUUUGUGGAUAUGCUGGAUGGAAUUUUCUCGUUUGUGUUGCUGGACACUCGCGACCAUAGCUUCUUUGCUGCUCGUGAUGCAAUUGGAGUCACACCCCUCUACAUUGGCUGGGGACUUGACGGCUCUAUUUGGAUAUCAUCUGAGAUGAAGGGGCUGAAUGAUGACUGUGAGCAUUUUGAAUUGUUUCCUCCUGGACAUCUGUACUCCAGCAAAGAAGGUGGCUUCAAGAGAUGGUACAAUCCUCCAUGGUACUCGGAAUCUAUUCCUUCAGUCCCAUAUGAUCCACUUAUUCUGAGAAAAGCAUUUGAAAAUGCUGUCAUUAAGAGACUAAUGACGGAUGUUCCAUUUGGAGUGCUGUUAUCUGGUGGCCUUGAUUCAUCUUUAGUUGCUGCUGUAACAGUUCGUCACUUGGCAGGAACAAAAGCUGCAAAGCAGUGGGGAACUCAACUCCAUUCCUUCUGUGUUGGUUUAGAGGGCUCACCUGAUUUGAAGGCUGCAAAGGAGGUUGCCAAUUAUUUGGGCACUGUCCACCAUGAAUUUCAUUUCACAGUUCAGGAUGGUAUCGAUGCCAUUGAGGAUGUAAUCUAUCACAUCGAGACGUAUGAUGUGACUACGAUCAGGGCAAGUACCCCCAUGUUCCUCAUGUCCCGCAAGAUAAAGGCAUUAGGAGUGAAGAUGGUCAUCUCUGGUGAAGGUUCAGAUGAGAUUUUUGGAGGAUAUUUGUAUUUCCACAAGGCACCUAGUAAGGAAGAGUUCCACUGUGAGACAUGUCACAAGAUUAAAGCACUCCACCAGUAUGAUUGCUUAAGGGCAAACAAAGCAACCUCUGCAUGGGGGCUUGAAGCUCGUGUGCCAUUCUUGGAUAAAGAAUUUAUAAAUGUCGCAAUGAGCAUCGAUCCUGACUGGAAAAUGAUCAAGUCUGAUCUUGGCCGGUUGGAGAAGUGGGUAUUGAGGAACGCUUUUGAUGAUGAGGAAAAGCCCUACCUGCCAAAGCAUAUUCUCUACAGGCAGAAAGAACAGUUCAGUGAUGGUGUUGGCUACAGUUGGAUCGAUGGGCUCAAGGCCCAUGCAGAAAAACAUGUGACCGAUAGAAUGAUGCUAAAUGCAAAUCGCAUUUAUCCACACAACACACCCACCACAAAAGAAGCCUACUACUACAGAAUGAUCUUUGAGAGAUUCUUCCCCCAGAAUUCUGCAAGGCUGACUGUCCCCGGAGGUCCAAGUGUGGCUUGCAGCACAUCCAAGGCCAUUGAGUGGGACUCCCAGUGGUCGAAUAACCUCGAUCCCUCAGGGAGGGCUGCUGUUGGUGUCCAUGUUUCUGCCUAUGAUCCACAAUUGCCCACUUCUCUUUCUGCAGGAAAAGGACCUGCCAAGAUCACCAACAAGAAGGCAAGGGUGGUGGUAGCAACAGCUCCAAGUCUCACCAUCAAGACCUGAUGUCUUUUUGAGUUAUCAAUAUCCCUGCGUACCAGUCUUGUUUGCAUGGAUUCUAGUCAUGUUAUUGUCCUUUUCUCAAGUUCACGUAAUAAUGAACGUAUAAAGAAGUUGAUUUUACGAGUGCUGGAGGCAAGCGUUGAUGAAUAUAACCAACGGAAAGUGGUGGAUUUAACUUAUGUACGACUGCUAAGAUCUUUAAUGGGAUCCAGUUUAAAGCAUAGGCUGAGGACUGGAAUCUCUCCUUAAGAUCAUCUUUAGAUGAUCACUUGUCAUGUACUUGAAGUACCCAGUGGAU